Molecule: ribosomal RNA, 253 nt
Filed under: uncultured bacterium
Lineage: Bacteria
Description: partial 16S ribosomal RNA
Rfam family: Bacterial small subunit ribosomal RNA
Source: RNAcentral
UACGAAGGGUGCAAGCGUUACUCGGAAUUACUGGGCGUAAAGCGUGCGUAGGUGGUUCGUUAAGUCUGAUGUGAAAGCCCUGGGCUCAACCUGGGAAUGGCAUUGGAAACUGGCGACCUAGAGUGCGGUAGAGGGUAGUGGAAUUCCCGGUGUAGCAGUGAAAUGCGUAGAUAUCUGGAGGAACACCGGUGGCGAAGGCGGCAUCCUGGACCAACACUGACACUGAGGAGCGAAAGCCAGGGGAGCAAACGGG